AUUCUUUACCAGCUGAGCUCAGCAUCUACUAUGUAUCCGGUCCAGCUCUGGGCACCCAGGACAUUGGGGAACAUGACUAUACCCUAGUCAGAGGCUAAAGGAGGAGACAGAAGAGAAUAGUGUGCUGAAUAUUUUGAUAAGGACUGCAGAGAACUGCUCUAUAUAACAGAAAACCAGACGGGCAUAGUUGUAAAAGAGGAGGCUUCCCAGGUGGCCAGAGUGAUAAAGAACACGCGUGCCAAUGCAGGAGACAUAAAAGAUGUGGGUUCGAUUCCUGGGUUGGGAAAAUCCCCUGGAAAAGGGCAUGGCAACCCAUUCCAGUAUUCUUGCCUGGAGAAUCCCAUUUUCAGAUGAGCCUGGCGGGGCUGCAGUACACUGGGUUGCAGAGUUGGACACUGAAGCGAGUUAGCAGUCAGGCCAAAAGGAAGGCGUCUCUGGAGACAUGCCCUUUGGGCUGAGCCUUUAAGGCCUGGCAGGCGCUAGAGACUGCUAGGACCAUCUGCCCAUUUAACAGAAAAGAAGACUGAGCCCAGCGUCUGUCCACGGUGCCCUCCAGGCCUCAUUUAACCGGACUAGGCCGAGCGCUGCGCUCCGAGUCCGCAGGUCGAGCGCCAGAGCCCGGCCAACUUGCCCGCCCAGCUCCCGGGGCGGGGCCUCGGCCCAGGUGCUCGGCGGAGGCGCUUCGCGGAGGCAGGAAGUGUGUCCCCAGCGGCGGCCCGUGCAGCGCUCCCGCGAGACGCUCACCUGCGCCCCAGGUGAGCAGCGAGGGGGGGCGGGGGGAGGGGCCGAGCUGGAGGCGGCUCACCUGGCGGGACAGGCGUCUGGCUACAGCAGACCAUGCAGUGAGCCAUGCCCCGCCCUGGACACCCCCGCCCAUCAUCUGGGCCCCCACGCUUGGGACCCUGGGAGCGGCCAGCAGAACUAUGCCUGGAGACCUACGAUGAGCCAGCCCGGGCUCCACCAAGCCACCGCACCCGCAGACCAGACCCCAAGGACCCCGGGCACCACGGGCCCGAGAGCCUUACCUUUAUCUCCGGCUCUGCCGAGCAGACUCCCGAGCCCCCCGCCUGCUGCCUGCUCUGGCGACCCUGGGUAUGGGACUGGUGCCGGGCGGCCUUCUGCUUCCGCCGCUGCCGGGACUGCCUGCAGCGCUGCGGGGCCUGUGCGCGGGGCUGCAGCCCCUGCUUGUCCUCGGGGGACUCCCCUGAAGGGGCCGCCGAAGCCAACUGGGUCAAGGAGCACAACGGCGUGCCCCCCAGCCCUGACCGUGCGCCUCCCAGCCGGCGGGAUGGCCAGCGGCUCAAGUCGGCCAUGGGGAGCAGCUUCAGCUACCCCGACGUCAAGCUCAAAGGCAUCCCGGUGUACCCCUACCGCAGCACCACCUCCCCCGCCCCUGACGCGGACUCCUGCUGCAAGGAGCCGCUGGCUGACCCCCCACCCAUGCGGCACAGCCUGCCCAGCACCCUCGCCAGCAGUCCCCGGGGCUCCGAGGAGUACUACUCCUUCCACGAGUCGGACCUGGACCUGCCCGAGAUAGGCAGUGGCUCCAUGUCCAGCCGAGAGAUCGACGUGCUCAUCUUCAAGAAGCUGACAGAGCUGUUCAGCGUACACCAGAUUGACGAGCUGGCCAAGUGCACCUCAGACACUGUGUUCUUGGAGAAGACCAGUAAGAUCUCGGACCUUAUCAGCAGCAUCACCCAGGACUACCACCUGGAUGAGCAGGACGCUGAGGGCCGCCUGGUGCGCGGCAUCAUUCGCAUCAGUACCCGCAAGAGCCGCGCCCGCCCGCAGACGGCAGAGGGGCGCUCAAGCCGGGCGGCCGCCCCAGCUGCAGCUGCCCCAGACAGCGGCCACGAGACCAUGGUGGGCUCAGGGCUCAGCCAGGAUGAACUCACGGUGCAGAUCUCCCAGGAGACGACUGCAGAUGCCAUUGCCAGGAAGCUGAGACCCUAUGGAGCCCCAGGUUUGGUCCUGACGUGAUGAGGAGUGCGGAGAGGAGAGGGGACAGCCCUCGUGGCCCCCAACCUGCCCCUCUCCCAGCUUCCUCCUGGGGAUACCCUGCCAGCCACGACUCAUCCUUCCAGGGCACCGACACAGACUCUUCAGGGGCACCCCUGCUCCAGGUGUACUGCUAACCCUCGCCAGGCCCAGUACUGCCGCCCCGUCUGAGAGAAGUACCGUCUACAGCAUGAAGAGAGGGGCCAGAGCCCCACUUUGUGGGAGGCAGGGCCGUGAGCCCAGAAGCGUGCCCACUCUGGCUCCUCCCGCCUUGGCUGAAUGGUUCCCGAGCCACAUGCAUUUCACUGGGCUGUGGUGCCCACAUUCCCCUGGGGUCCCCCGCUGGCCUGGCCCCUGCCUGGGCCUGUUCCUUCCUGCCCAGUCUUCAGGAGGCCUGGGUCAUGGAAAGCAAAAGCUGAGGAGGGGACUUCUGGGAUUGAAUCCCAACUCCACCCCAAUAACAUGCCCCCCCU
Molecule: RNA transcript, 2471 nt
Organism: Bubalus bubalis (water buffalo)
Lineage: Eukaryota; Metazoa; Chordata; Mammalia; Artiodactyla; Bovidae
Gene: KDF1
Gene name: keratinocyte differentiation factor 1
Exons: 4
Source: RefSeq, a predicted model, not a curated record